UAGGGAAUCUUCCACAAUGGACGCAAGUCUGAUGGAGCAACGCCGCGUGAGUGAAGAAGGUUUUCGGACCGUAAAGCUCUGUUGUUGGUGAAGAAGGAUAGAGGUAGUAACUGGCCCUUUAUUUGACGGUAAUCAACCAGAAAGUCACGGCUAACUACGUGCCAGCAGCCGCGGUAAUACGUAGGUGGCAAGCGUUGUCCGGAUUUAUUGGGCGUAAAGCGAGCGCAGGCGGAAGAAUAAGUCUGAUGUGAAAGCCCUCGGCUUAACCGAGGAAUUGCAUCGGAAACUGUUUUCUUGAGUGCAGAAGAGGAGAGUAGAACUCCAUGUGUAGCGGUGGAAUGCGUAGAUAUAUGGAAGAAUACCAGUGGCGAAGGCGGCUCUCUGGUCUGCAACUGACGCUGAGGCUCGAAAGCAUGGGUAGCGAACAGGAUUAGAUACCCUGGUAGUCCAUGCCGUAAACGAUGAGUGCUAAGUGUUGGGAGGCUUCCGCCUCUCAGUGCUGCAGCUAACGCAUUAAGCACUCCGCCUGGGGGAGUACGACCGCAAGGUUGAA
RNAcentral lists this ribosomal RNA (553 nucleotides) under uncultured bacterium. RNAcentral describes it as "partial 16S ribosomal RNA". It matches the Rfam family "Bacterial small subunit ribosomal RNA", at positions 355 to 898 of the family's 1533-position model. The record is from RNAcentral.